Long non-coding RNA from Anopheles arabiensis, 392 nucleotides. RefSeq lists it as uncharacterized. The transcript has 2 exons. The record is from RefSeq and is a predicted model, not a curated record. NCBI's taxonomy places the organism in Eukaryota, Metazoa, Arthropoda, Insecta, Diptera, Culicidae.
GGCCCGGCAGCACCGUACCCCCAGCGGCUACUGUUCCGGCCAUUUCAGUCCACGGUCGAAAAUCUUACCCGCCCCACAAAUGUACGGCUAAUGGGGAACGGACAUGAGCGAAAACGGAUAAAUCACGAUUCGACACGAAAAGGACGACGCAGGCACUUAAAAGAUGGGGUAUGAAUUAUUUACAAUUUUAGAGGAACUUUUUUCCCGAAAGGCACGGGAUACGCGCAAGGAACGAAGGAAGCAAAAUGGAAGGAGAAAUAAGUGUUGUUGUAAGGGUAGGAUGAUUCUCGGAAGAAAUAUCAAUCUUUUGUAGUGUAGCGUGUGUGUUUGAGUCAAUUGAACUAACAAAAAAACGUGUUAAAUCAAUAAUAUGUACAAAUUCCAAGCAUUAA